AAGUACCCAGAGCACAAUACACUGGAGAAGGCCGCAGGGACCUCUGCCUAGGAAAGCCAGAAAAACUCACUACCCAGCCCACAGGCAGAGAAGGGAGUGGAGGCGGCCAGCGGUGUGUCUCAGAAGAGCUGUAAAUACUGUGCUGACACAGGGUUGCAUGUAACCACAAUUGGAGAAAUGCUUUCUACUAAGCCAAAGGUAAAUUGGCACUGCCAAUUGCUACUUCACAGAAAGUAAAAAUGAUGUUGAGAGGAAAGCAAGGAAGUAUGGGAUCUUGUGCUGCUGUUGUUACCUGGCUGCUCCAAAGAACCAUAAGAUUAUAACCAACUCAUCUUGGUUUGCCUGGGAUUUUCCUGGUUUAUCACUGAAAUUCCUGUAUCCUGGAAGACCCUUGAGCCCCAAGCAAACUAGGACAGUUGGUCACCUACUGAAGAAACUUCCUUAAAAAAGAGUUUGCACAGUUGUAGCUACCAGAAGAAAGCUCAGCAAAGAUUCAAAGUCCUUCUAAAAUGAUCCAGAUUGAGAAUACCAGCUGCUGGGGAAUCAUUAUUAGGCAUUACAUCAAGAGGAGGCAUCAAAAAUCCAACAGGAGAAGCUACCUUUGCUAACAAUAGCGAAGAGGCAGAAUUCAGAAUUCUUACUGAUUGGAGUCAUCACAAGAUUAUAUUAUAUUACAUUAUUAUAUUAGAUUAGAUGGUUUCUCCUGCUAGAAGCAACUUUUAUUUUUUUUAACUUUAGCAGUCUUUUAUUUCCAAAAUGAGUAAAUCAAUGGACAAAAAAGAAAUAGGAAGAAAAUGAAUUUGGCAUAACUCAUUACUAGAAAAGCAAUGUUCAUUUUGAAUAAUGGGAAACUGAAUUUGUGUGAAUUUGUGUGACAUCAUCCAAAGCCUCCAAUUUCACCAAUGUCAUUCCUUUGCAUCUGAGUCACACAGUUGGUAGUUUUUCACUUUAACUCUUCCAAAAUAAAAGUAAAUAAAAAUAUUCUAUUAGGAAACCUGAUAAAUUUUGAAACCCAAAAGCUCAAGCCAGUUCUAUAGACCUUGAAUUUUUCAACCUAGCACUAAAAUUGUCAGUAAUGGAUUGGAUAGAAUACAGGCUUACACAGAAACAAACAUGGUUGACUUUUUCCAGACACAGAAAAUAAGGUUACCAAUGUUAUAAAAUCUCUAAGUUGUAUCUACUUGGAGAUACUGUGCUUGAUAUCAGUGGUCCCGAUUUCAUUAGGAGAAAUCUGAUCAUCUUUCUGGAAUUGAAAACUGGAAAUGGCCCAGCUGGAUUUCCUUUUAGAAGACACAAGGUUUCUUGAAAUGAGCUAUCCAAAAGUAAGAUAUUCCUUUCUUGCACCAGUAAAGACUGAAUGAGCCUGAACAGGUGUUGCAUAAAUGACCACUUGAUCACCCAAAUGCAUGAGCCUCUCUUCUUUCUGGAUACAAGGUCAAGCCAAAUCAUGUUUUCUUGCCUCCCUUUUACUUAUGUGUGGCCAUGUACUAAAUUCUAGCCAAAAGAAAGGAAGCAGAAAUGAUAUGUGCUACUACCAAGAUUGGACUAUGAAAACCUACUACACAUUCUCCUCAAUGUAUGCUUCACUUCAAGUCUACCAAGAUGGUGGCUUACAGGGUAUCGAAAUCUGCUGAAGAUGAGAGAACCUGCAUUCACCUGGGAGCCCGAAUGACUGUUAAGAAGGUCGCCUGUCCAGUUGAUCACUUGACUGGUUUAUGUGGGGAAAAAUAUAUUCAGCAAGAGCUGAUAUGGUUUCAGGAGUAUUGCUAGAGAAGUUAGCCUACUUUCACCAAUUUGAACAAAAGCCGAAGAUAGGCUGCAUUAUGAAGGCACUGUUUCUAGGGCUUGCUGUAAAAGAUGAUAUCCAGGUAAUGAGCAUUCGUGAGGGCAGGUGAUGCCUUUUGCUAUGUGCCAUGUCAAUGCACAAGACAGACAUACUUUCUCUAAGGCAGUCUAUUUCCAGCAGAGAGUUUUCUUAAGUGUGAAAAGAUAUUGCAGUAGACAAGCAAGAUUUCUUUUUAUUUCUGCUAAAGGUAAUAAACAUUAAGGUCUCAUUUUAAAAAAUAUAAAUAAAUUGAAUUAUAGGUGAAAAGGAAUGCAUCAUGCUGCUACUUAACAUUUCUUUGAUUUCCCCAAAUGGAAAUUAUGAUUAAGCCUAAGUUUUAAGUUAUAAGUCAUUUGAGACGCUUCUGAAUGUUGUCUCCAAAUUUGUCUCCAUAUUUGAAGAACUAUGUAUUUCUCCAAGGACUCAUAAAGUGGAGAGCGGUCAAAUGUGCCAACAGCCUAAGAAAAGGAAAACUUUUAAGUGAAGGAAAUGUUGCUAAUAAGUGGAAAGGUUACGUUUUAUUGAGUAUACACAUUUAUGGUCAUAGUUUUAAGUUUCGCUUCAAGCAGCAUUGCCAAGAUUAAAGUUAUAAUUAAAUCCCCAUUUUAUAAAGAUGUCAGUUAGUUUUUUCAGUGAUUUUAUGAUUUAAUUAAGGACUAGGACAACUUAUUGCAAGCAUGAGUAGUUUUAAUAGUAAAAUAUAGUUUAGAUUACUAACUUGAUGUUCCAGAGGGACUGCUUCCUUGUGAAAGGGUAAUUCACUGUAAGACUUCCUUAUGUUCAAACCUGUUCUCUCUUCAUGCAGUGUAUUUUAUGACUCAGUUUUGUGGUUUCCACAUACAACUAUCCUAAUAGCAGCUGCUUCCCAACCUCCCCCCACCACACACACACACACACACACACACACACACACACACGUUUUUGUCUUACAGAUUUAGUUCUUUACUUGUGGUGAAACUAUUAGAAUAGAGGCAAAAUGCUACAUGAAUCUACAAAGAUAUACGUCUUCUAAUGAAAAUAGUAAUUACUUUUUCAUAAUUUCACAAAAUGAAUAAGCCUAAACAAACAAGACACAUGCAAUGACCAGAGGAAAAAAGAGGCAAUUCCUAAAACACAUGUACAAAGCUUCGUUUACACUGAGCUCCGGCCUUUUUUUGCCUCUUAAGGAAAUUUGUUUCAGUGGAGGAGUUGUGAGAGUACUUGUCACAUACAGGUAUCAGCUUUUUCCUACCACAAAGGAAAGAAAAAGAAAAGAAGCUGAUGAACCUGAUUAAUAAUAAUUUAGGGUGGCAGACGUAGAAGGGAGUCAGAGAUUCAUCCAGUGCAUUUUUAUAAUCUAAUAUUGGACAAAACUAAAUACACGUACAGGAUCACAAGAUGCCUUAACGGAGUCUAUAUUGGACAUACAAAGACUUGAUGAUUAAAGCUCUUAAAAACAGA
This is a long non-coding RNA of Homo sapiens (human), 3265 nucleotides long. RefSeq lists it as uncharacterized. The transcript is spliced from 3 exons. The record is from RefSeq and is a predicted model, not a curated record. NCBI's taxonomy places the organism in Eukaryota, Metazoa, Chordata, Mammalia, Primates, Hominidae.